RNAcentral lists this ribosomal RNA (309 nucleotides) under uncultured bacterium. Its description in RNAcentral is "bacterial SSU rRNA". It matches the Rfam family "Bacterial small subunit ribosomal RNA", at positions 504 to 812 of the family's 1533-position model. The record is from RNAcentral.
UGUGCCAGCAGCCGCGGUAAUACAGAGGGUGCAAGCGUUAAUCGGAUUUACUGGGCGUAAAGCGCGCGUAGGUGGCCAAUUAAGUCAAAUGCGAAAUCCCCGAGCUUAACUUGGGAAUUGCAUUCGAUACUGGUUGGCUAGAGUAUGGGAGAGGAUGGUAGAAUUCCAGGUGUAGCGGUGAAAUGCGUAGAGAUCUGGAGGAAUACCGAUGGCGAAGGCAGCCAUCUGGCCUAAUACUGACACUGAGGUGCGAAAGCAUGGGGAGCAAACAGGAUUAGAUACCCUGGUAGUCCAUGCCGUAAACGAUGU